RNAcentral lists this ribosomal RNA (785 nucleotides) under uncultured Neocallimastigales. RNAcentral's name for it is "partial large subunit ribosomal RNA". It matches the Rfam family "Eukaryotic large subunit ribosomal RNA", at positions 23 to 616 of the family's 3401-position model. Lineage: Eukaryota; Fungi; Neocallimastigomycota; Neocallimastigomycetes; Neocallimastigales. The record is from RNAcentral.
ACACGCAUGACACACUGCAUAUCAAUAAGCGGAGGAAAAGAAAACUAACUAGGAUUCCCCUAGUAACGGCGAGUGAAGCGGGAAGAGCUCAAAUUUGAAAUCUUCAAGGUUUUUACCUUGACGAAUUGUAGUUUAAAGAAGUGUUUUUCUGUUGAAGUUUUUGGUAAAAGUUCUUUGGAAUAGGACAUCAUAGAGGGUGAGAAUCCCGUAUUUGAUCGUUACUUUUCCAGCUGUGUGAUACACUUUCAAAGAGUCGGAUUGUUUGGGAAUGCAGUCCAAAAUGGGUGGUAAAUUUCAUCUAAAGCUAAAUAUUGGCGAGGGGACCGAUAGCGAACAAGUACCGUGAGGGAAAGAUGAAAAGAACUUUGAAAAGAGAGUUAAACAGUACGUGAAAUUGUCAAAAGGGAAGCGUUUUGACACCAGUGUUGUUUUUUCCGAAAAUCAAUUACGAAUGUUUUUAUUUUUGAGAAGUUAUGACUUCAUCGGCUUGCUUCUCUCUUUAUGAAACUUUCUUAAUGCACUUUUCGGUUAACAAGUCAACAUCAAUUUCUUUUGUUGUAAAAGGGUAUGAGGAAGGUGGCUUUCUUUUCGGAGAAAGUGUUUAUAGCCUUGUACCUCUGCAAUCGGAGAGAUUGAGGUCUGCAGCGUAGAUCCUUCGGGGUUAGAUACAUUUGUGCUAAGUUAUAGCUUUUUCAUAGACAACUUGUUGACUAUGUUUAGUCUUGUAGCUUACUCGCUUAUGCUAUUUUACCUACGCUUAGGAUGUUGAGCGCAUGUCUCUCUCU